UUAGGAUAAAGGCCAAACAUUUUGUGAAAAUGAUGAAAAGCUUCCCAUUCGCAAAUAGGCCAUAUCCUAGAGCAAUGAUUUCAGGAACUCUGUGCAAUGGCAUUGAAGCUUGUGACGUUGCAUCGUUCUUCCUGCGACAUUU
Molecule: non-coding RNA, 142 nt
Organism: Drosophila biarmipes
Lineage: Eukaryota; Metazoa; Arthropoda; Insecta; Diptera; Drosophilidae
Source: RefSeq, a predicted model, not a curated record